UACGGGGGGGGCAAGCGUUGUUCGGAAUUACUGGGCGUAAAGGGCUUGUAGGUGGCCAACUAAGUCAGACGUGAAAUCCCUCGGCUUAACCGGGGAACUGCGUCUGAUACUGGAUGGCUGGAGUGUGGGAGAGGGAUGCGGAAUUCCCGGUGUAGCGGUGAAAUGCGCAGAUAUCGGGAGGAACACCAGUGGCGAAGGCGGCUUCCUGGACCUGUUCUGACACUGAGGAGCGAAAGCGUGGGGAGCGAGCCGG
This 253-nucleotide ribosomal RNA is filed under the name uncultured bacterium. RNAcentral describes it as "partial 16S ribosomal RNA". It matches the Rfam family "Bacterial small subunit ribosomal RNA", at positions 524 to 776 of the family's 1533-position model. The record is from RNAcentral.